RNAcentral lists this unclassified non-coding RNA (240 nucleotides) under soil metagenome. RNAcentral describes it as "partial contains 5.8S ribosomal RNA, internal transcribed spacer 2, and large subunit ribosomal RNA". The record is from RNAcentral.
AACCAUUCUCACCUGCGGCUAGACCUGCGGAGGAUCAUUAAAAAGAGUGUGUACCCCUCUGUAAAAUGAGUGGGUUACCUCCCGUCCUUUGUUGACCUCUUAGGAGGUUAUUUUGAACUUUCUGCUUCGGUGGGGUUAAACCUACCGGAACACCCUCAAAUUCUUAUCAUUUAAAAAUUGUUCAGUCUGAUUUUUGUUAAUAAAAACAAAAAACUUUCAACAACGGAUCUCAGAUCGGAA